UACGGAGGAUCCGAGCGUUAUCCGGAUUUAUUGGGUUUAAAGGGUGCGCAGGCGGAAGAUUAAGUCGGUGGUGAAAUUUUGCAGCUCAACUGUAAAAGUGCCAUUGAUACUGGUUUUCUUGAGUGUGGAUGAAGUAGGCGGAAUUUGUGGUGUAGCGGUGAAAUGCAUAGAUAUCACGAGGAACUCCGAUUGCGCAGGCAGCUUACUAAACCACUACUGACGCUCAUGCACGAAGGCGUGGGGAUCAAACAGGAUUAGAUA
This 261-nucleotide ribosomal RNA is filed under the name uncultured prokaryote. Its description in RNAcentral is "partial 16S ribosomal RNA". It matches the Rfam family "Bacterial small subunit ribosomal RNA", at positions 524 to 784 of the family's 1533-position model. The record is from RNAcentral.